UCAACGUGCCGGCUGCUGGAAAAGUGUGUCACUGGGGCACGAGGCGCUCCCUGGAAUCACAUGGUACCUGCUCCAGUGCCGCGUGCGGCCCGGGAACCCUGGGCUGCUGGCGCCUGCGCAGAGCCCUCUGUCCCAGGGAAAGGCUCGGGCAAAAGGCGGUUGAGAUUGGCAGAGUGAAAUAUUACUGCUGAGGAAACGUAGCAGGGCACACGUCUCUCUUUGCGUCCUGGUGCCUCAUUUCUCCAUCACCUACUUACUUCCUGGUUGCAGCUUCUCUUCCUUUGGGACUUUUGCACCCGGAGCUCCAGAUUCAUUACCCUGCUUCACUGCGGAGCCUUCAGGAGUGGCAUCCGGUGCACUGCAGAGACCCGACUCUCCUUGCUACCUUAUAGCCAGAACUGCUGCAGGCUGAUUCUUCACACACACACUCUCUGCUCUUCCCAUGCAAAUCAGAUCUCAGGUGCCUCAGCGUCCUACCCUUCUGGAGGGCUGCAGUAUAGCCACCCCAAGACCUUACUGCUCAGUGCCUGGAAUCCUGAUUGCGAACUGCGGGGCUCACUCGUCUCCCUCAGCCAUUGCCCAGGGGGCGAGAGAGGCCAUCACAACCUCCAGUUUGUGUCAAGGUCCAGUUUGAAUGACCGCUUUCAGCUGGUGAAGACAUGACGACCCUGGACUCCAAUAACAACACAGGUGGUGUUAUCACCUACAUUGGCUCUAGUGGCUCCUCCCCGAGCCGGACCAGCCCGGAGUCCCUCUACAGUGACAGCUCCAAUGGCAGCUUCCAGUCCCUGACUCAAGGUUGUCCCACAUACUUCCCACCAUCACCUACUGGCUCCCUCACCCAGGACCCUGCCCGCUCUUUUGGCAGUGCGCCACCCAGUCUCAGUGAUGAUAGCUCCCCUUCUUCUGCAUCAUCGUCAUCCUCUUCAUCCUCCUCCUCCUUCUAUAACGGGAGCCCCCCAGGAAGUCUACAAGUGGCCAUGGAAGACAGCAGCCGAGUGUCCCCCAGCAAGGGCACAAGCAACAUUACCAAGCUGAAUGGCAUGGUGCUACUGUGUAAGGUGUGUGGGGACGUGGCCUCAGGCUUCCACUAUGGAGUGCACGCCUGUGAGGGCUGCAAGGGCUUUUUUCGCCGGAGCAUCCAACAGAAUAUCCAGUACAAACGGUGUCUGAAAAACGAAAACUGCUCCAUCGUUCGCAUCAAUCGCAACCGCUGCCAGCAGUGUCGCUUCAAGAAGUGUCUCUCCGUUGGCAUGUCUAGAGAUGCUGUGCGUUUUGGGCGCAUCCCCAAGAGAGAGAAGCAACGGAUGCUUGCCGAGAUGCAGAGCGCCAUGAACUUGGCCAACAACCAACUGAGCAGCCUGUGCCCUCUAGAGACCUCACCUACUCCACAUCCCACCUCUGGCUCCAUGGGCCCCUCACCUCCUCCUGCACCAGCCCCCACACCUUUGGUGGGCUUCUCUCAGUUCCCACAACAGCUGACACCACCCAGGUCUCCCAGCCCUGAGCCCACCAUGGAGGAUGUGAUAUCCCAGGUCGCCCGGGCCCAUCGAGAAAUCUUCACCUAUGCCCAUGACAAGUUAGGCACCUCACCUGGUAACUUCAAUGCCAAUCAUGCAUCAGGUAGCCCUUCAGCUACAACUCCACACCGCUGGGAGAGUCAGGGAUGCCCGUCUGCCCCCAACGACAACAACCUUUUGGCGGCUCAGCGUCAUAAUGAAGCGCUGAAUGGUCUACGCCAGGGCCCUUCCUCCUACCCGCCUACCUGGCCUUCUGGCCCCACCCACCACAGCUGCCACCAACCUAACAGCAAUGGGCACCGUCUGUGCCCCACCCACGUAUAUUCGGCCCCAGAAGGGGAGGCACCUGCCAACAGUCUACGGCAAGGCAACACCAAGAAUGUUCUGCUGGUGAGGGCAUGGAGCCAGUGUGGAGAGAGCGAGGGGGCCUUGGAAGAUUGGGACUAGAGAAAGACAGCCAGUGUUCCUAGAGGCUGGGGGUGGGGACUUCUGUCCAGGAAAGGACAUUCUACCCCAAAAUCUGGGUUUUACCUGGGAAUCCUUAAUCACCAUUCGGCACCUGAUUACCGAUUUAGGCAUGUCCCAUGAACAUGUAUCCCCAUGGACGCAGCGGCCGGACUGUGCAGGAGAUCUGGGAAGACUUCUCUAUGAGCUUCACGCCUGCCGUUCGGGAGGUGGUAGAGUUUGCCAAACACAUCCCAGGCUUCCGUGACCUUUCUCAGCACGACCAGGUGACCCUGCUUAAGGCUGGCACCUUUGAGGUGCUGAUGGUGCGCUUUGCAUCGUUGUUCAACGUGAAGGACCAGACAGUGAUGUUCCUGAGCCGCACAACCUACAGUCUGCAGGAGCUCGGUGCCAUGGGCAUGGGCGACCUGCUCAAUGCCAUGUUUGACUUCAGCGAGAAGCUCAACUCCCUGGCACUUACCGAGGAGGAGCUGGGCCUAUUCACCGCGGUGGUGCUUGUCUCUGCAGACCGCUCGGGAAUGGAGAAUUCCGCUUCGGUGGAGCAGCUCCAGGAGACGCUGCUGCGGGCUCUUCGGGCUCUGGUGCUGAAGAACCGGCCCUCGGAGACUUCCCGCUUCACCAAGCUGCUGCUCAAGCUGCCGGACCUGCGGACCCUGAACAACAUGCAUUCCGAGAAGCUGCUGUCCUUCCGGGUGGACGCCCAGUGACCCGCCCGGCCGGCCUUCUGCCGCUGCCCCCUUGUACAGAAUCGAACUCUGCACUUCUCUCUCCUUUACGAGACGAAAAGGAAAAGCAAACCAGAAUCUUAUUUAUAUUGUUAUAAAAUAUUCCAAGAUGAGCCUCUGGCCCCCUGAGCCUUCUUGUAAAUAACUCUUCCCCCACCCCCACCGCCAUGCUCCCAUCCUCCCCUAUUUAAACCACUCUUGCUCUCUCCACCCUCCUCUGGCCCCUCGAUUUGUUCUGUUCCUGUCUCAAAUCCAAUAGUUCACAGCUGA
This is an RNA transcript of Mus musculus (house mouse), 2980 nucleotides long. It is a transcript of the gene named nuclear receptor subfamily 1, group D, member 1, with no coding region annotated. The record is from RefSeq and is marked validated. The transcript has 8 exons. Lineage: Eukaryota; Metazoa; Chordata; Mammalia; Rodentia; Muridae.